RNAcentral lists this long non-coding RNA (486 nucleotides) under Heterocephalus glaber (naked mole-rat). RNAcentral's name for it is "lncRNA (ENSHGLG00100040284.1)". The record is from RNAcentral. Lineage: Eukaryota; Metazoa; Chordata; Mammalia; Rodentia; Bathyergidae.
GCCAAAGACUCUGAGUUUCUGCAAACCCAAAUGUCAAAUGGAUAUUAGCAAGAAGUAACUCUUGGUACUCCCAGGCCAAUGAAAUCAGAGUGUUCAAAACAAAAGACAGCAGAGCUUCAGACCCUAGAGGAGAGGAAGACAGAAGACCCGGAAAGGGGUGGAAUCAGUGAUAGACACCAAGUCACUCAGAUCCAAAACCAAUAAGUCUUUUAUGGCUAAACCAAGGACAUGGGAGGUAUCUCCAGAGGUGCUGAGAAGAGCCACUCUUGAAGGCAGCUAAGGAAGCCCCCAGCGGAAGCAUGAUUCUGGUCUAACGCUUCAUCGUUUUGUGCUUCUAUGCUGGAACCAACUGUAUGCUGACUGAGUACUGAUGAUGAUGGCAAAAGGGUUGGCUGUUCCAUACCAUUAGCAACACUACUACUUGAUUCCCUGGGUGAACUCUUUGAAAUCUGUUCUAACUAAACCACCAUGUACAGAGGAGGAACC